Molecule: ribosomal RNA, 460 nt
Filed under: uncultured bacterium
Lineage: Bacteria
Description: partial 16S ribosomal RNA
Rfam family: Bacterial small subunit ribosomal RNA
Source: RNAcentral
CCUACGGGUGGCAGCAGUGAGGAAUAUUGGUCAAUGGUCGAGAGUCUGAACCAGCCAAGUAGCGUGAAGGAUGACUGCCCUAUGGGUUGUAAACUUCUUUUAUAUGGGAAUAAAAUGUUCCACGUGUGGGAUUUUGUAUGUACCGUAUGAAUCAGGACCGGCUAACUCCGUGCCAGCAGCCGCGGUAAUACGGAGGAUCCGAGCGUUAUCCGGAUUUAUUGGGUUUAAAGGGAGCGUAGGUGGAAUGUUAAGUCAGUCGUGAAAGGUUGCGGCUCAACCGUAGAAUUGCAGGGGAAACUGGCAUUCUUGAGUACAGUGGAGGUAGGCGGAAUUCGUGGGGUAGCGGUGAAAUGCUUAGAUAUCACGAAGAACCCCGAUUGCGAAGGCAGCUUACGACACCGUUACUGACAUUGAUGCUCGAAAGCGUGGGUAUCAAACAGGAUUAGAUACCCUAGUAGUC